Molecule: long non-coding RNA, 1650 nt
Organism: Zonotrichia albicollis (white-throated sparrow)
Lineage: Eukaryota; Metazoa; Chordata; Aves; Passeriformes; Passerellidae
Source: Ensembl
CGGGUGCCCUGCGAGUCAGACGAGUCCAGCAGCUUCAUGUGGAAUCCCCCAGAAAAACCCUCCGAGGAGUCAGCUGGCCACAGGUGCGCCAGCCCAGAAGAAGGGUCGGGCUGUGGUGACAGGGCCAGGCAGGGGAAGCCUGCCCAGGGACUGCAGGAGAGAAGGCUGGCGAGCGCCAGAGGCGAUGGCGCCCUGCAGACAGCAGCUGCUGCACAGGGCCCCUGUGUGCAGGGAGACACAGCCCCGGACUCCUUGUGUGCUCCACAAGCUUCAGCCAGAGAGACAUCUUGGAAAAUACAGAUAAAUGAUCAAAAAAAGAAGCUCAUGGAAAAUAUUUUGCUGUAUGAAGAGGACAAGUUAAACAGUUCUGAACUUUUUGAAUCAUAAAUUGGAUGGAUUAAUUAGCAGUGGCCAGCUCAGAAGAAGCUCAGAAUGUGUCCUCAUUAGAAGGACGGUAAAAGUGCACCUUUCACGUAAGAUUAGGUAGCAGGUUUCGCUCAGCAACACUGGCCCUGACUGAAGGAAACAAGAAGUACCACAUAGAGAAGCACCAGAAAAUAACUGUUCUAUAGCAGAUUAAAGCACAGUCCCACUUUCCAUCUGCAAUGUGAAAAGGAAUGGCAAACGCAAGUGCCAUAAUAAUUUGUGAUUGAUUUGCAGUUGUUUCAGGAAGCGUCUGUCGGUGUCCUUAAGCCGCAGUCCCAGGAGCUGCAGAGCAACGCUGAGCAGUGGCAGGCAGCCGUGCCCUGAGCUCUUUGCCCAGACAGGAAUCCUCAGAGCUGGCAGCUUUGCCAGUGGCAAACCUCUCUCUGUUCCGUACAGUCUUAGUCCACACACCCAGAACCACUGCAUGACCUGAGAGGGGUUUCUGUGCAAGUUCUCAGAAUGUUGUACAGCUUCACCUCAGUGUGAACUGCACUGACCACACGUGUAGGUAAUUAACUUCAGCCACUUUCCUCCACUCUCUGAGCUGAGCUUCCCUCCACAUACACGUGACACCACUGAAGUCCAACCUUUCGGUUCCCUGUUGGGAGCUCUGAGACCAUGUUUAAUACUUCAUAGGAGUAUUUUUGGGAAUUAUUUUUUUCUAAGUGUCCUUUACAUGGAAAUGUUUCUCAUUGUGUUUCACAUGGUAACUGUUGUAUAUUUUAGAUUAGGGAAAAGAUUUUAAUUUAAAAUAGCUUUGAUUUUUAUAGGGCACUUGAAACAUAAUUUGUUGUAUUUAUUUUGGCAAUGGGUCAAAUAUAAGCUAAUAAGAGGACUUGUUGAUGGUUCCACACUCACCAGGCAUUCUCAGAGGAAUCCUUGUGGGUGUCCCUUAGUUGGAGCCUCACUCUCAGGCCCAGGGAUCACAUGCAAAAGAAAAAAUAGAGACUUGUAUGCUGGUGUAUUUAUGAUCAAGUGAAAGCCCCCUUAAGAAAGCAUCACUUUUGUUUUUAUGAUAUUUAUUAUUUUUAUUAUUGCUAGCAUAUUCCACUUGUGUGCAGUCUAGGGAAAAACAAGUUUAUGAGGGACCAAAAGAAGCUCUGUCUACAGACAGGUGAGCUGCCUCCUGAGCAUGGGGAACAGGGCCUGAUGUGCAGAAAGGGCUGCAAGUCACAGUGCAGUUUAGGGAACAAAAAUAAAAUUAAUUCUAUGUAAUUAUUUUCA